Long non-coding RNA from Cucurbita pepo subsp. pepo (vegetable marrow), 881 nucleotides. RefSeq lists it as uncharacterized. Lineage: Eukaryota; Viridiplantae; Streptophyta; Magnoliopsida; Cucurbitales; Cucurbitaceae. The record is from RefSeq and is a predicted model, not a curated record.
GGGAGGAGACAAUUUUUGGUCGUCUAUUUCUUGGAUGAUCCUUCUGAAGGUUUUAGUUUUGUUUAGAUUUGGGGUAAAAUUUUGAAAAUGGAAAUGGUUUAGCCUUUCGAAUGACUAGGAGGUGCAAACUAUUCUGCAACACCUUUUGGUUCAGACAAAGGCUUACAUCAAUUGAUCGGAUAUAAAAUUCCAUUACGGAAUCCGUUUGAGGGAGUCGAACGUUUUCUUCUUUGUUCCUCUUCCGGAUAGCUUCGGACAUUUCUCUUUUCCCCCACUUCUUUUGUUUUUUUCAGUCUUUUUAGCUCUUUUGAUAAGGAAUUUGAUCUGGGUUUUGUGUGCUUUUCGAAUCUAAUCUAUCUGAAUUGCAUGUUCUUUCUUUUUAGUGAAUCAAGGAUGGAUUUUGAUGCUGUAGAUUAGUGUAAAUGAUCUUCUGCGGAUGGUUUUUGGCCUAGGGUUUUGAUGUUCUUUGUCAAUCUGAUUGUGAAAUGUGGGAGUUGAUUACGUAAAUGGCUUGCAUUAUGUGAUGUUCAAGGCAGUGCAUUUUUGUCAAUAAUACAAUCGGCGACGCUACGGUUUAUUGUCAAGUUGUCAUGCCAUUAUUUGAUAUUUUGUGCCUGGUUCAAAUCCCACAAUGGAGCUUUCACUUUCUGAAGUGGCGAUUUUAAUCAGUGGAAGAAUAUCGUCAGCUGGGUUGAUCACCUGAUAAAUCAUACCAAGCUAGCUGAGCAAAGGAAUAAACCAAGCAUCAUCAUAUACUUGCUCGUGUAAGCCAUAUCUCCAAGUCCCUUGUUGCUUUGAAAGGUGGAAAUUGCACUUUGUAAUGACUCUCGGUAUGAUAUUGCUCACUUUGAACAUAAACUUUAAUGGCUUUGCUUUUGGUU